AAAUUUUGACUUAAAUGCAAUUUAAUUUCGAAUUAAAUUUUUAUUAAAGUCU
RNAcentral lists this transfer RNA (52 nucleotides) under Panonychus citri (citrus red mite). Its description in RNAcentral is "tRNA-Arg". The record is from RNAcentral. Lineage: Eukaryota; Metazoa; Arthropoda; Arachnida; Trombidiformes; Tetranychidae.